GUGACCGGAAGGAGUGGAGCCAGGAUCCAGUCCUUCCCAGACCUCAUUUAAGGGCCAGCAGUGGAGGUGAGGGCAUCUUUUGCUGUAGGCCUUACCCCCCUGAGGCCUUCCAAAGGCGAGUAAGAAGUGGAUUCGUGCUGCUCUCACCUGCACCCAGUGUUAGUUACCCCUACUGCAGGGCUGUGGGAAUGUCGUGCUGCUAUGAACAGUGUGAAAACUACCUCAUUCUAUGGAGGCAACAAAGUCUUGAUGCUACCUACAAUGAAUCUGGUUUGUCCAGUUGCGUUAAUCUUCAGCACACUGCUAUGAUUCCAUGGAGAUGCAGGAUGCCAUGUCGUGUUCAAAGGGGAUUUAUAAAAAGAAAAAAUGGAAGAAGUGAUCUCAUUAAGCACAAGUUUGAGAUAAUCACAUGUCUGCUUGAUUGGGGGCACCCAGGGUGGUACCAGAGGACUAAGUAAAGAUUGAAGUAUGAGGAUGUGAACUUUAGUCAUUUAUUACACUCUUACUCAGCUUGGUUUCAAGUUGAUAUAUAAGCCGAAACUUUAUUCUGGUUAUCAAUCUUUCUGUUCAAAUACUUUAAAAUAUCCUGAUUCUUAUAAAUACACAUAUGAUACUGUUCAUGCUAACCCCAGUGGGAGCUGAGAAAACAUCAAUGUCCCAUCUACUUGGGUGCCUCAAUAUAAGAUCUGAUGAAUUGCCCUUGGAUUUGUACAUCUGAAUCUGUUCAGAUUGACCUGAGUAUUCACUUGAUCCUCUCUGUUUAUGUCAUCUUCUGUUAACAUGCAAAAACUAUUUUGACUGUUAAUGUCCUUGCUAACUGUAUGUAGUUUCUGAGGUUUUGGCCCUCCUGCCCCAAGUACUGAGGCUUCAGAUCUUGAAAAUAUUACGGUACAAUAGAUCUUUUGUUGCAUGUAAUGCAAAAUGUUGUAUUUCAGAACUUUGAUUUCUCUAACUGAAGAGUCUUCUGAGCUGGAAACUCCAGCAGUAAAUUAAGGAGAUCAAGGAAGUAACUUAAUGGCUUUCCAUUAUUAAUUAUCUCAUACUUUAACUGCUUCCAGAUGGCUGAUCAGGAUUAGAGCCUCAUUAAGUUGAGUAAUGCAUAACAUGAAUAUGCAUGUUGUCUGCCCCCAGUGCCAGUUCCAUUACCCUGUCUGAGAAGUGAACAUUAACCUGAAAGCCAGUCUGCAAAUGUUUAAGUGCAUUCACUUACAUUUGCAGAACUAUAGCCUAAUUGACUAUACAGGGCAGAUGAUUACACAGCAAGUAUAAAGGGAAAGUCAAAUGCAAGAAUAAACAGGUGUGCAUGUGCAUAUGUGCCCUGUAUAGCUUAUUCACUUCAUAGUUAUCAACAGUUAAAAUAUAAACCAGUAUUUUUUUUUUGAGAACCUCUUUUAAUGUAAAUAAUCUUCCUUUGUAACAAGUAUUGCUUUCUUCAACAUAUGCAGUACUUGCUGAUAGGAAGCUUCAUUUUAAGUGAAUGAAUUGGAGCUGUGAUUUUUCCAGAACUUAACAC
Molecule: non-coding RNA, 1513 nt
Organism: Phasianus colchicus (ring-necked pheasant)
Lineage: Eukaryota; Metazoa; Chordata; Aves; Galliformes; Phasianidae
Source: RefSeq, a predicted model, not a curated record